RNAcentral lists this microRNA precursor (188 nucleotides) under Oryza nivara. Its description in RNAcentral is "MIR812 microRNA precursor family". It matches the Rfam family "MIR812 microRNA precursor family". Lineage: Eukaryota; Viridiplantae; Streptophyta; Magnoliopsida; Poales; Poaceae. The record is from Rfam by way of RNAcentral.
AAUAAGUAUAGUUUUACCCUGUUCAUGGCGUUUGACCGUUCGUCUUAUUUGAAAAAUUCUUAAUUUAUAUUUUUAUUGUUAUUAGAUGAUAAAAUAUGAAUAGUAUUUUUUAAAAAAAAUUCAUAAUUCUUUUUCAAAUAAAACAGACAGUUAAAUACUAUACGCGGAUAUCCACGGUUACCCAUAUU